GGGGUUGUGGCUCGGUGGUAGAGCAGUUUCGUGGCAUACAGAAGGUCCCAGGUUCAAUCCCUGGUUGCUCCA
Molecule: transfer RNA, 72 nt
Filed under: Sphaerodactylus townsendi
Lineage: Eukaryota; Metazoa; Chordata; Lepidosauria; Squamata; Sphaerodactylidae
Description: tRNA-Met
Rfam family: tRNA
About the family: Transfer RNA (tRNA) molecules are approximately 80 nucleotides in length.
Source: RNAcentral